GGCAGGCCGCCGCCUAAUCACCGUGAGGUGAGCCGGGGAACCAAGUCAGUGGGGUGAGUCCGCCUUCGGGCGGUAGGGAUUGCUUCCGUCCCGAACCCGUCAGCUAACUCGGUCGGCGGUGACUAGGAAGGAACU
RNAcentral lists this small RNA (135 nucleotides) under Actinoplanes missouriensis. Its description in RNAcentral is "c-di-AMP sequence". It matches the Rfam family "c-di-AMP riboswitch aptamer (ydaO/yuaA leader)". Rfam says of the family: This family represents a conserved RNA structure found upstream of the ydaO and yuaA genes in Bacillus subtilis and related genes in other bacteria. The ydaO/yuaA element is thought to act as a genetic "off" switch for the ydaO and yuaA genes in its native state. The record is from RNAcentral. Lineage: Bacteria; Bacillati; Actinomycetota; Actinomycetes; Micromonosporales; Micromonosporaceae.